AAGUUUUGGAUUUAUAAAAUCACCUUUAAAUUUGCAAUUUAAAAUCAUAAUUGAAUACAAAACU
RNAcentral lists this transfer RNA (64 nucleotides) under Abscondita anceyi. Its description in RNAcentral is "tRNA-Cys". Lineage: Eukaryota; Metazoa; Arthropoda; Insecta; Coleoptera; Lampyridae. The record is from RNAcentral.